Small nucleolar RNA from Microcebus murinus (gray mouse lemur), 137 nucleotides. Ensembl annotates it as small Cajal body-specific RNA 18B. Its record names the gene SCARNA18B. The record is from Ensembl. NCBI's taxonomy places the organism in Eukaryota, Metazoa, Chordata, Mammalia, Primates, Cheirogaleidae.
UUGCAUGGUUGGAAAUGUCUGCUCCUCCUUCCUUUGGGAGCAGAAAUACAUCCAUAACAUGCUACAUUAAAAAAGGAGUUCUCAGGGCUGCCAACCUUACAGUAAAGGUUGAGUAGUAGUAUAUUACUCUUACAUAA